Molecule: long non-coding RNA, 4851 nt
Organism: Bombus huntii
Lineage: Eukaryota; Metazoa; Arthropoda; Insecta; Hymenoptera; Apidae
Exons: 3
Source: RefSeq, a predicted model, not a curated record
UGACAUAACACUUCACCCAUAUAAGAAAAGAAGAAAUGGAAAGAUUUGUUACUUAUAAUCGAACUAGUCAACAAGUAAUUGCACGAUAAUUAGUAUGAGAAAAGAAAAGAUGAAACUUUAUAUAAUUGUAAAAAUAAUCGGCUGUAUGUAGAUAAACGACCAUGAUAGUCGCCCGUGGACCGUGUGCAAUGUAAAUCGAUGCAAGUAUCUCUGAAACAUGAUUAGUGCAGCAAUAAAAUCACCGAGUUAUGUACCAUAUCUCGUAUUUAGAAUAUCAAAAAUAUAAAUAUGAAAGAUAUCGUAUUUGUUGAUAAUUUUAAAUGUUCAUAAUUUUAACUCGAACAUGUCGCAGCAAGGGGUCACCGAACUUACGAUCGAUAGCAUAGAUGUGUUUAACAAACCAUUCACAAUUAACAGAGAAAAAUAAAAAAGAAAUGAUUAAUGUUGCUCGUAUCAGGUCUUGAUACCGACGUGUCGUUAUUAAAUACAAAAAAGUAAUCAACAGUAAGAUUAAUUAAUUAUUAUCGUUAAUGAAACUAUAACGACUACAUAAUGUUGAGAAAGCGUCAUACUUUAUUUGUGUUAAUUGUCGUAUUAAUUGUUGCCACUGCCAAGUCCUUAUCCCGUUCCCUUUGUUUUACCGCAGGCCAUAAGGUUCGUUAAACGGAUCGUAACCUCGAAGAGGUACAUACCGUAACAUGUAGUUCAAAGGAAGUGUUUAGAAGAAGCGUUAUGGUAGAAAGUAAAUAGAUAGAUAUGGAUGUUUCUGCGUCACUAUUAAAACCGAAAGUUCGCACCAUCGCAGUGAUCGCAAGGUUGCUGCCUUAUUGAUCGGAGCGUCUUGGCGCCCGGCACCGCACCGGUCUCUCUCGCGAAAAGAGCCAACUUGCAUGUCUACAGAAACACAAAUGUACUACAUUUAUGUUUUUAUGCAUACGAUGCAUCUAUAGAACUGAGUCACAGUAAAAUUCAGAGUAUGCAAACGCAAUAUGCGAAUUAAACGAUCAAUUUGUAGCGAGAUGUCAUAAAUUACCAUUUUAUAGUUUGUUAGAUAGUAAAUAGAUUAGUAGAUUAGACUCGAUAGUAAUAAUCCGCUUUUUCGAUAGCAUUACAUUUUAUUGCCGUUUUACAUCGAAUGCAGAUGCGAAGUGUUUAGUCAAACUCGUUUUACACUUUUCUACGGUUACACUUUUUUUCUUAGUUAAGCAGUUCCAUAAAGCUCUACAAUCAGAAUCCUUCCUAUGGAGUUAUAAUAUCACAGUAAUAUCAAGUAACCGACAACUUUUUGCAAUUUUACAAUCUUUUCGACGAAUGGCAUAAUUAAGAGAUUUGCAAUUGAUGGAGUUUACUUGUACAAAAAAUUUGUUUUAUCUCCAAACCUGUUACCGUAACUUGUAACUUGUAACGCGUAUCUUGUAAUUUGUAACUUGUAAUGUUCCGUUAAUAAGUAAUAGUUCAAUCAUGUAAGAAGGCUCAGUUCAUAGAUAACGCAGGCGAAGUUAUAAUUCUUCAGGGGGUGGCUGCAUUUCACUUACUUCCCACGAUGACGCAAUGUACACUUUUCACAAAUUAAUAUCACGUAACGCUCAAAUACGUAGAAUGACGCAAAGAGGUAUUCAAGUAUAAAGACAAUCGCAAUUAUUAAUUCAAAUUAAACGCAAUUUUGCUAAGCUUUAUGCUCCAGUUUUUAUACGUCAAUUACUUUCCUAUAUAGACGUACGUUAAGAUCGAGGCAUGGGAACGAGAAAGUGUAUUUUAACAUACAAUCAUAGCAUCAGAGAUUCGGCAUAAAUAGAUACCAAUAUAUAUCUCUUUCGUUUCUCCAAACAAUUUCCCUAAUUACACGAUGCGUCGUUAUAUAACGCGUGAGAAUUUCUCAAUUAUGAAAGAUGAAGCUAUUCACAGGAGGAAGGUGCUCUAACGAUACCAAAUACCGCGAGUUCCGAUUUGGUAAAAGUUCGCGUGAAUCACGGUCCGUGGUCAUCGAAUUAGGACCACUUAGAACUUUCAAUAUUUUUCGCUCUUUUAGUAAGAUUAAGAGACGCGAAUUCUAACAACAAAGUCUAUUAAUUACUAGGAUGUUACACAUAUACGUGUUAAUAAUAAUUUGUGCUUCCUCCUGUAUUUUUAACAGGAUAAAUUAUUUUCAUGAUUAUUCCAGGACGGUUAGCAGGCACUAUCCAUUCCAUACAGACAAUGUUUCCAUCAAUAGAUUAUUUAACGAAGUUAAAUUUAAUUAGAAGAAAUCCUAACAACUCGAUUCCAAACAUUUUUCAAUUCUAUUCUAAAUUUCUAUUCUAAAUAAAUGAUUCUAUCCUGAAAUCGACAAUUGGCUGUAGCAAUGAAACCGCAAAGCCGUGCACCAAAGCAUAUGAACUGAUCAAGUAGAUAACGUUUUAAAAAACUAUAUCUGGUUAAAGAUUUAUUUGGAAAAAUAUCGCAUAUACACCGGUUUAAUGAUUCCAACAACUAAGAUCUGACAUAGUACGUGUAUACAUGACGUAUUAUUAGAAUUAGAAAAGUGAACUUUCUGCAUGUGGUUGAAAUUUAACUGUAUUUCCAGCGUUUAGCUAUAGAUACUAGUUUCAAAAGUUGGUAAACGUCGAUGACGUGAAAGGGCUUAAUACAGUGUGUGAUUCGCGACGAUAAUUCGUACACGCUUGGGAAAAUCGUACGGCACUGUGCCGUGGGUGCUAUAAAAGCACGGUAACGCGGGCUGCGCCGGCGAAUCAAUAGUUCGUCGACACUACAUACGUCCGACCUGAAGUCGGAAAAACCAUCGGAGCUUGAUUUUACGAGAGUGUGCACUGUGCACGCUCUCGACGACAGCCAGACGGUAAAUCGUAUAUGAGAGAGCCAUCGAAUUACGGAUCUUCCGUUAGUCUCUAUGUCCCUGCGAGCUGUUCGCAGGAGCUGGAUGGUUUCCGCGAGCAAAAAUAAACCGUGGGUGGUGACUGACAUUUUUGCCCGUGCCUUUUAUCCCGUUUGGAGGGUGUAGAAGAUAUAAAACGGCUGAUUCGUCUGACUCUUCCGAAGAAACAUUGAAAAACUUGAAAUUCUAUAUGUAGAACUUUCGCAUGUGUGUAUGUUAACUUAUAAACUGUUUUCUAGGAUGGAUGGCUCUUUUUCGAAUUAAGUUUCUCACAAUGGAUCUCGUUGCCGUAGGAGUCUUAUACAGGAAAAUACGUCACUGAUUAAUUGCUGGAAUUGCAUCAUCGAACGAUUAAAAAAGAUUGCAUUAUUUAUAAGGCUGGCCAAUAUAUGCAGAUUGAAACAGUAGUAAGAAUGUAAUCGAGCUUUUUAAGUCGCUCAAAUUUGAUUUAGAUUCGUACUUCAUCAGACGGCACAAAGGAUUCAGCGAGGCAAUCUUUCCGGUUCUCUUUGUCUCUCUGGUCCUCUAUAAAAUAAUAAUGACGAAAGCAGUUUACAUUCUGUAUAUAAAUUUCGAGUAGCAUUAAUGAAGAGUCUCGUUGUGUACAUAGAUCUCUAAAACAUUUUUAAUGUAUCUACUGCAUUAAAGGGUACAGAAGACUUGGAGAGGAAGUUAAUUAUUUGUUCAGAAAAAGGAUCCAAAUCCCGUGUACAGAAUAAUAGUCCUGUUCAUUAAGAACUUCAUCGAGUAGCUAGGCCCUCGAACCUCUUACAAUUCGUUUUGCGUUUCCACUGGCGACAAGUGGUUCGACACGGGUAUACUCAUCGUCGUCUGUUUGUUUCACCGAGAACUUGACGGAGAAUUUAGUCGAAUGGAAGUCGGUCAGCCAAAAUGUAAAUUACCGGCAUUAUUCUACCGACGUAAAUAGACACUGGGAAGCCAGGUGCGAGUCACAUUGGUCGUUCCCGCGGCAAAUUUAUCGCGAACUGAAAUUAGAGCGGCUUAUCGGAUCAGUAUUGACCUUUUUUCGCCCCUCUUUUUCUUCGUUCGAUUAUACAAGUGCAAGGACGACUCGUAGACCGAUUAUACUUAAAUAUAUUCUAUCGUACACACGUUCUUCGCGUAUCGACGCAACGUGUGAUUCCCUGAUUGCGUGUCGAAAUUUCCAAUUGUAGAUACAACUUACGGUUUUCAAGUCACAGAAAUGCACACGACUACUUUGCGUCUACCAUUUGGUUCAAUGCCUAUCGGUAUCUUUUGCGAUAAAUCACUUCGAGUGCUUUCUUCGUUUCUCGCUAUUAAAAUGUAUUUAGAUCUCAAGUAACGUAAUCUCCAAGUUUACACCUCGUGUACGGUAUAUCUAUAUACAAGGUUACAUCGCCAUAAGCCGAGUACGACUAUAGUCCUAUGUUAGUUUAACACGAAUUUCAUUCCACGCGUUUAGACUUUCGUUGCUCGAAGAAACUUUAAGAAAGCGUUAAAAAGAUGCGCCACCCAUUAUUAUGUAACGUUAUGCAAUUACCGUUAACUCUCUGGUCCCGUUGGUGUAUUAAAUGGUCGAAUAUGUGGUGCACCUUUGGACCACGUUUAGACGAUACAAAAGGCAGCUCGACGAACGUUUGUCGAGUUAACCAGCCAGAGAGUUGCUUGUACGAUGUCUCGUUGGAGCGGGACGAGUCAGCCACCGUGAGUAUUUUCUCCGUGUACGCGUCCACUUCAUUUUCUUCGAAGAAAUCAACGAUAGAAACCUGCGAGUUUCGCUCCUUAAGAACGCAGGAAAAAUCCUUUUCCCUUCGUGAAAGCGGUCAAGCCUUGGCGGCUGGCGCUCUGAAUCGUCUGGAUAUAGUAAUUAACGAAGAAAUCGCCUUUUAAUUGGACCAGAUACGAACUGGAACGGCGAUCCAAGCGACAGCGUCUUCUAGGCGCAUGCAACCGUAUACAAUCUACCUUAUUACAAUGUGUUCGAACUUACGCGAUAA